RNAcentral lists this ribosomal RNA (530 nucleotides) under Escherichia coli. RNAcentral describes it as "partial 23S ribosomal RNA". It matches the Rfam family "Bacterial large subunit ribosomal RNA", at positions 1 to 561 of the family's 2925-position model. Lineage: Bacteria; Pseudomonadati; Pseudomonadota; Gammaproteobacteria; Enterobacterales; Enterobacteriaceae. The record is from RNAcentral.
GGGUUGUGAGGUUAAGCGACUAAGCGUACACGGUGGAUGCCCUGGCAGUCAGAGGCGAUGAAGGACGUGCUAAUCUGCGAUAAGCGUCGGUAAGGUGAUAUGAACCGUUAUAACCGGCGAUUUCCGAAUGGGGAAACCCAGUGUGUUUCGACACACUAUCAUUAACUGAAUCCAUAGGUUAAUGAGGCGAACCGGGGGAACUGAAACAUCUAAGUACCCCGAGGAAAAGAAAUCAACCGAGAUUCCCCCAGUAGCGGCGAGCGAACGGGGAGCAGCCCAGAGCCUGAAUCAGUGUGUGUGUUAGUGGAAGCGUCUGGAAAGGCGCGCGAUACAGGGUGACAGCCCCGUACACAAAAAUGCACAUGCUGUGAGCUCGAUGAGUAGGGCGGGACACGUGGUAUCCUGUCUGAAUAUGGGGGGACCAUCCUCCAAGGCUAAAUACUCCUGACUGACCGAUAGUGAACCAGUACCGUGAGGGAAAGGCGAAAAGAACCCCGGCGAGGGGAGUGAAAAAGAACCUGAAACCGUGU